UCGGGAAUCGUCUAACGGUAGGACGUCAGGUUCUGGACCUGAAUGUUGGGGUUCGAAUCCCUGUUCCCGAGCCA
RNAcentral lists this transfer RNA (74 nucleotides) under Candidatus Nitronauta litoralis. RNAcentral describes it as "tRNA-Gln". It matches the Rfam family "tRNA". From Rfam's summary of the family: Transfer RNA (tRNA) molecules are approximately 80 nucleotides in length. The record is from RNAcentral. Lineage: Bacteria; Pseudomonadati; Nitrospinota; Nitrospinia; Nitrospinales; Nitrospinaceae.